RNAcentral lists this unclassified non-coding RNA (343 nucleotides) under Hevea brasiliensis (rubber tree). The record is from RNAcentral. Lineage: Eukaryota; Viridiplantae; Streptophyta; Magnoliopsida; Malpighiales; Euphorbiaceae.
GGAUUGUGUGCUAAAAGAUUAUAUGCUCUAGUUUACACACAAGCCUAAGUGAUAUAUUGUGCCUAGAAGGCUUGCUAGAUGUUGAUUUGAUCAUGGAAGUGUGAAAUUUGUGAUAAACAUUUAUGGUAUAACUAUGGAAGGAAAUAGGGAAAGGAAUACGGGGUUAUUAUGUAAAAAAUGACUAGUAUGUUUCUCUAUGUCUAUUUCUGAUGUUCAAUUAACACAAAUUACUGCUAUUAAUUUUGCCAUUCUAUACAAAUCUGACAUUAUUCUGGAAAGUUAUGGGUGACUUUAAAAUAUAAGUCAUCACUUACUUUCAUGGAGGAGGCCAACAGGUGUCAAC